Molecule: ribosomal RNA, 305 nt
Filed under: uncultured bacterium
Lineage: Bacteria
Description: bacterial SSU rRNA
Rfam family: Bacterial small subunit ribosomal RNA
Source: RNAcentral
GUCCCUACGGGAGGCCGCAGUGAGGAAUAUUGGUCAAUGGGCGCAAGCCUGAACCAGCCAAGUCGCGUGAGGGAAGACGGCCCUACGGGUUGUAAACCUCUUUUGCCGGGGAGCAAGCCUGAGCACGUGUGCCCAGGCGGAGAGUACCCGGAGAAAAAGCAUCGGCUAACUCCGUGCCAGCAGCCGCGGUAAUACGGAGGAUGCGCGCGUUAUCCGGAUUUAUUGGGUUUAAAGGGUGCGUAGGCGGUCCGUUAAGUCAGCGGUAAAAUUGCGGGGCUCAACCCCGUCGAGCCGUUGAAACUGGC